Molecule: ribosomal RNA, 111 nt
Filed under: Erinaceus europaeus (western European hedgehog)
Lineage: Eukaryota; Metazoa; Chordata; Mammalia; Eulipotyphla; Erinaceidae
Source: RNAcentral
GUCUAUGGCCAUACCACCCUGAACACGCCCGAUCUCGUCUGAUCUUGGAAGAAGACAUUGGCCAAUGAGAAAACUCCUUUAGAAAAGCUUUUAUAUUGGUAAUAAAAGAUU